This 288-nucleotide unclassified non-coding RNA is filed under the name Hevea brasiliensis (rubber tree). Lineage: Eukaryota; Viridiplantae; Streptophyta; Magnoliopsida; Malpighiales; Euphorbiaceae. The record is from RNAcentral.
UUUCAACAAUGUAAUCCCCUACUUGUGAGGUAUUUUGGAGUGUACAGCAUACUCCGGGGAGAAUAACGCACCAGAAGGGAAAGCAAAAACCAUACACACCCAUCCACAAGUCAGAAGCAACAGCUGCAAGUCACAAUAUUAAGACUCUGCAUUGGGCUGCUGUUGCUUUCUCAUUGGAAGUUAGCACCUUUUUACUUACUUCCCUUGAAUGCUGAAAGAGAAAAGAAUGAUCUUGAUGCUUUUGUUGUACUUGCUGGAGCUGAAAGCCGGCUUGCUUGCAGUUUCUGA